AUACGUAGGGAGCAAGCGUUGUCCGGAUUUACUGGGUGUAAAGGGUGUGUAGGCGGCUCUGCAAGUCAGGUGUGAAAACCAUCGGCUCAACUGAUGGACUGCAUUUGAAACUGUGGGGCUUGAGUGAAGUAGAGGCAAGCGGAAUUCCCGGUGUAGCGGUGAAAUGCGUAGAGAUCGGGAGGAACACCAGUGGCGAAGGCGGCUUGCUGGGCUUUAACUGACGCUGAGGCACGAAAGCGUGGGCAGCAAACAGGAUUAGAUACCCUGGUAGUCCAUGCUGUAAACGAUGAUUACUAGGUGUGGGUGGACUGACCCCAUCCGUGCCGGAGUUAACACAAUAAGUAAUCCACCUGGGAAGUACGACCGCAAGGUUGAA
Molecule: ribosomal RNA, 376 nt
Filed under: uncultured bacterium
Lineage: Bacteria
Description: bacterial SSU rRNA
Rfam family: Bacterial small subunit ribosomal RNA
Source: RNAcentral